CGUGUAGGCGGUUUUGCAAGUCAGAUGUGAAAUUCCCAGGCUUAACCUGGGCGCUGCAUCUGAAACUGCAAGACUUGAGUACUGGAGAGGAUAGUGGAAUCCCUAGUGUAGCGGUAAAAUGCGCAGAUAUUAGGAGGAACACCGGUGGCGAAGGCGACUAUCUGGACAGUAACUGACGCUGAGGCGCGAAAGCGUGGGGAGCAAACA
This 207-nucleotide ribosomal RNA is filed under the name uncultured Saccharofermentans sp. RNAcentral's name for it is "partial 16S ribosomal RNA". It matches the Rfam family "Bacterial small subunit ribosomal RNA", at positions 568 to 774 of the family's 1533-position model. Lineage: Bacteria; Bacillati; Bacillota; Clostridia; Eubacteriales; Oscillospiraceae. The record is from RNAcentral.